CAGCAGCCGCAGGAAUACAGAGGGUGCGAGCGUUAAUCGGAUUUACUGGGCGUAAAGCGUGCGUAGGCGGCUUUUUAAGUCGGAUGUGAAAUCCCUGAGCUUAACUUAGGAAUUGCAUUCGAUACUGGGAAGCUAGAGUAUGGGAGAGGAUGGUAGAAUUCCAGGUGUAGCGGUGAAAUGCGUAGAGAUCUGGAGGAAUACCGAUGGCGAAGGCAGCCAUCUGGCCUAAUACUGACGCUGAGGUACGAAAGCAUGGGGAGCAAACAGGAUUAGAUACCCCUGUAGUCCCUGUCUCUUAUAA
RNAcentral lists this ribosomal RNA (301 nucleotides) under uncultured bacterium. Its description in RNAcentral is "partial 16S ribosomal RNA". It matches the Rfam family "Bacterial small subunit ribosomal RNA", at positions 509 to 809 of the family's 1533-position model. The record is from RNAcentral.